Molecule: transfer RNA, 72 nt
Filed under: Lachnospira pectinoschiza
Lineage: Bacteria; Bacillati; Bacillota; Clostridia; Lachnospirales; Lachnospiraceae
Also listed under: 3 other names
Description: tRNA-Gln
Rfam family: tRNA
About the family: Transfer RNA (tRNA) molecules are approximately 80 nucleotides in length. Their secondary structure includes four short double-helical elements and three loops (D, anti-codon, and T loops). Further hydrogen bonds mediate the characteristic L-shaped molecular structure. tRNAs have two regions of fundamental functional importance: the anti-codon, which is responsible for specific mRNA codon recognition, and the 3' end, to which the tRNAs corresponding amino acid is attached (by aminoacyl-tRNA synthetases). tRNAs cope with the degeneracy of the genetic code in two manners: having more than one tRNA (with a specific anti-codon) for a particular amino acid; and 'wobble' base-pairing, i.e. permitting non-standard base-pairing at the 3rd anti-codon position.
Source: RNAcentral
UGGGCUAUGGUGUAGUGGUAGUCACACAAGGUUUUGGCUCUUGUAGCCCAGGUUCGAAUCCUGGUAGCCCAA